CCUACGGGUGGCAGCAGUGGGGAAUUUUGGACAAUGGGGGCAACCCUGAUCCAGCCAUUCCGCGUGAGUGAAGAAGGCCUUCGGGUUGUAAAGCUCUUUCGGCAGGAACGAAAAGGCUCUCUCUAACAUAGGGGGUCAAUGACGGUACCUGAAGAAGAAGCACCGGCUAACUACGUGCCAGCAGCCGCGGUAAUACGUAGGGUGCGAGCGUUAAUCGGAAUUAGUGGGGGCGAAGUUGGCGCAGGCGGCUGAAAUCCCCGGGCGUAACCUGGGAACUGCGUGUGUGACUGCAAGGCUUGAGUGCGGCAGAGGGGGGUGGAAUUCCACGUGUAGCAGUGAAAUGCGUAGAGAUGUGGAGGAACACCGAUGGCGAAGGCAGCCCCCUGGGUCGACACUGACGCUCAUGCACGAAAGCGUGGGUAGCAAACAGGAUUAGAUACCCCGGUAGUC
Molecule: ribosomal RNA, 450 nt
Filed under: uncultured bacterium
Lineage: Bacteria
Description: partial 16S ribosomal RNA
Rfam family: Bacterial small subunit ribosomal RNA
Source: RNAcentral